RNAcentral lists this ribosomal RNA (469 nucleotides) under uncultured bacterium. RNAcentral describes it as "partial 16S ribosomal RNA". It matches the Rfam family "Bacterial small subunit ribosomal RNA", at positions 28 to 507 of the family's 1533-position model. The record is from RNAcentral.
GACGAACGCUGGCGGCGUGCUUAACACAUGCAAGUCGAACGGAAAGGCCCUGCUUGCAGGGUGCUCGAGUGGCGAACGGGUGAGUAACACGUGGGUGAUCUGCCCCUUACUUUGGGAUAAGCCUGGGAAACUGGGUCUAAUACUGGAUAGGACCAUGCUGUAGGUGGUGUGGUGGAAAGAUUAGUUUCGGUAAGGGAUGAGCUCGCGGCCUAUCAGCUUGUUGGUGGGGUAAUGGCCUACCAAGGCGUCGACGGGUAGCCGGCCUGAGAGGGUGGAAGGCCACAUUGGGACUGAGAUACGGCCCAGACUCCUACGGGAGGCAGCAGUGGGGAAUAUUGCACAAUGGGCGCAAGCCUGAUGCAGCGACGCCGCGUGGGGGAUGACGGCCUUCGGGUUGUAAACUCCUUUCAGCCAUGACGAAGCCCUUGUGGUGACGGUAGUGGUAGAAGAAGCACCGGCUAACUACGUG